Arabidopsis lyrata subsp. lyrata is the source of this 214-nucleotide microRNA precursor. It matches the Rfam family "MIR841 microRNA precursor family". Lineage: Eukaryota; Viridiplantae; Streptophyta; Magnoliopsida; Brassicales; Brassicaceae. The record is from Rfam.
GCACCAACUCUACCAUGUGCAGAAACUAUGGUCUUGAGUUGCCUGUGAAUACGACCCACUGGAAACUAAAAUAAACAAAGAAACAGUAUCAGUGUGAAAUUUCAUAAAAUUAGAGUACAAAGAGACAUGAAAUUUCUUUGUUUACUUCAGUUUUUGAUGGGUCGUAUUCACAUGCAACUCAGGACCAGAGUAUCUACACAUGGUCGACUUGGUG